This 503-nucleotide ribosomal RNA is filed under the name uncultured bacterium. RNAcentral's name for it is "partial 16S ribosomal RNA". It matches the Rfam family "Bacterial small subunit ribosomal RNA", at positions 30 to 523 of the family's 1533-position model. The record is from RNAcentral.
AUUGAACGCUGGCGGCAGGCUUAACACAUGCAAGUCGAGCGGGGUGAUGGUGCUUGCACUAUCACUUUGCGGCGGACGGGUGAGUAAUGCUUAGGAAUCUGCCUAUUAGUGGGGGACAACAUCUCGAAAGGGAUGCUAAUACCGCAUACGUCCUACGGGAGAAAGCAGGGGAUCACUUGUGACCUUGCGCUAAUAGAUGAGCCUAAGUCGGAUUAGCUAGUUGGUGGGGUAAAGGCCUACCAAGGCGACGAUCUGUAGCGGGUCUGAGAGGAUGACCCGCCACACUGGGACUGAGACACGGCCCAGACUCCUACGGGAGGCAGCAGUGGGGAAUAUUGGACAAUGGGGGGAACCCUGAUCCAGCCAUGCCGCGUGUGUGAAGAAGGCCCUAUGGUUGUAAAGCACUUUAAGCGAGGAGGAGGCUCUCUUGGUUAAUACCCAAGAUGAGUGGACGUUACUCGCAGAACAAGCACCGGCUAACUCUGUGCCAGCCGCCGCCGUAA